GUAGGUGUUCAAGAACAUGACUGGAAAAAUACUUCAAUCCUCAGCCCACUUGGAUGAAGCCAAAGAAUCCACUGUCUAUCUUUUCUAUUCCAGCUGUACCUGUCAAAGAAUACCCAUCUCGAGUUCUGGAUAUGUGCUCUGAGAAGGUGCCCAUGUCACCGACCACACUGGAGGCCAAUGCAGAUACUGGGGGAAGGUUCC
RNAcentral lists this non-coding RNA (201 nucleotides) under Pan troglodytes (chimpanzee). The record is from RNAcentral. Lineage: Eukaryota; Metazoa; Chordata; Mammalia; Primates; Hominidae. RNAcentral also lists the same sequence under 1 other name.